UGAAACCUUAUCCUUCUCCUACCUUAUUCUACCAUGAUUCCACCAGAAUCUAUGGCAUUCCAGUCCAUGGAUGACUUAUGCUCACCCUCUAUCACCAUUAAACCUAAAUUGUUCGAAGAUUUGAAGCCCGACUUUGAUGUAUCUCUUCAGAUCUUUUUCAAAUCUGCAGAUCCAUGGCCUCUCCGGCCAUUAUUCUAGCGUGCCCAAGCAAUAUCAGCCCUUUCGACCCAGGAUCUGACUUUCCUCAAGACCUUUUUCAUUCUAGGGUUUUCUCUGCAACUCUAAGCCAUCUGAGGUUCUGUACUUGCUUAUUUUUUCUUAGAUCUGUGCCAUGCAUGAGCUUUACUUGACAUUUUAAAUGUUUUCCCCAAAUUUCCUGAUUAUUCUUGUUCUUUUUUUAUGUGUGCUUUAUGCUUGUAUGCUUUCUUCGUAUUCCGCAUGAGUUUGAUCUUUUGGUUUCUUUUCUAUUAUGCAAGACUCUUCUGCUUUUGUUUUUAUCCUUGUACCCGCAUGUUAAUCCAUGUUGUUUUCCUUAUUCUUUGCUAUAUGUGUUUACGGUUGAGUUCUUUGAUUUUGUUCACUUUGCUGAACUCUAUUUGUGUUCCUGCCAAGCAGGUUUUAUCUACUUUUUCUUAAAACUCGUAUCACCUUUUUUUCUGGAACUUCUUUAAGUCCCAAGUUAUUCUCAAGCAUGACUUUGAAUCAGUGUUCUUUCUAUCAUGUGUGUUUGUCUCUCAUUGAGUCUUUGAAAGAGACUUCUGAGCCUCUUCGAAUUACCUAUUUUCUUACCUCUAUUUUCUGACUCAAUUUGAAACCUUAGGAUUUGGGGUUUUCUUUGGGUAAAUGGUAUUAGGGUUCCACUUUGGGACCCUAGGCUUUCAGACUCACGAUGGUUCAGUAACAGAACUUGAAUUUCUUUUUGCUUGUGACUCUAAGGCUUUCAAUGAUAGACUCUUUUCUUAAAAAACUUGACAGUUCCUUUUGUUUGGCUGGUAUGCUUUAUAUAUGAGAAAAUUCCUCUUUCAAAAAGGUUCUCACCAACAAACUGAUUGAUUCUAAAAUCCCUUUAAUAAGGCUGAUGAAUUGUCACUGAUUUCCUUCAAUUGAACCUCAAUUACAUUUCUUGACUUAGUUCAUUCAAAUUGAACUUUUAAUUUUGGUUUCAUUGUUGUUUGAUUUAUUCCCUUACCAUAUUUGGCACAAACCGUGUACCGCUAAUUGUUUUCCUUAAAUAAUUUCUAUGUAUUACCCCUUUUGUGCUACUUUUAAAGGUUUUAAUCAAAUUUUCUUUCCUUAACUAAUUUUUACCCGUAGGAAUCAAAAUUCCUUAACCAAAGGGAGUCUGAUUUCAAUGAUAUUUCGUUGCCUUGCUUACUAGUUUCUCUACACUAUAAAAGGGACUGCCCUUCUGCAUUUUUAACACACUUCCAAUUUAAUGCUUUCACAUACACUUCGAGUUCAAUACCUUAGAAGUGCACCUUACGCUUUACGGUUUUCAUCUUCACACCACAUUCACUACCAGUUUUCCAAUUCAGUACUUGCACACUUGUAAUACUGUUUUGAAUUCAACACUCUGCUUUGCUUGAGAUCUUUUGGAGUCACUUUGCUUGCAACUUGGCUCUCUCAGGACUACUGUUUUCUUACUUGUUUUCCUUUGAAACUGGUAUUUUUUCAUUUAGUUUUCUGCCUCAUCCCUAUGAGUUUACUUUACAGUUCCAACACUCAUAUUUUCUUUGCUGCUCAUGUUCAAUGAUCUACACUAAUUAUGUUGUUCCUUGUAUCUGUUUCUAUUGUGAAUCCCUACCUCUAUUCCCUUCUAUAUGUUUGAGUUAAGGUUUUUGGCCUAGCAGUAUCCUAAUUACUGCCUAGGUCAUAGUCUGAUCCACAAUGGAUCCUAACUCCUAAGUUUGGCUAACAGGCUGGUCAGGGGUGUGCCAGCAUCCCAAUUGUUGGGCAUGACAACCAGCCUAUCAUGGCUCUCCCUGAUUCCCCCCUAUGCACUUAUACUUAUUCUUAGACUCUUAAGUUCUGCCCCUCUCUUAUGAGCCUUGCUUUGGGACCUUGAGUUCCCUCUGAACUUGGACAUAUGAGGCUUGGCAUUUCCGCACUGCACUAUGAUCUUAAUUUUGCAAUGUGUUUGGAGUGUAAGCACUGCUUGGAGCCCCUUUGAGAAUCUUGGGAAGUUUGACACAUCCCAAAUAUGAGAAAAGCUUUUGGAAAUCCGAUCCUGAAAGUUGGUUUAUCUCAUAUUAUUGGACUUUGAGUCUGAAUUUAGAUGUUUGGAUAUAGUUGGAAUUUUUGAUGUAAUUUUACUUUUCUUUUCUGAUUCAUUUGGGUCUGUAAUAAUUUGUAAUAACAAUUGAGGAUGGCUAGUGGAAAGGGAUGUGGAUGAAUGCAUGCAA
This 2402-nucleotide long non-coding RNA is filed under the name Nicotiana benthamiana. RNAcentral's name for it is "long non-coding RNA (NBEN_LNC016179)". Lineage: Eukaryota; Viridiplantae; Streptophyta; Magnoliopsida; Solanales; Solanaceae. The record is from RNAcentral.